UACGUAGGGUGCGAGCGUUGUCCGGAAUUAUUGGGCGUAAAGGGCUCGUAGGCGGUUUGUCGCGUCGGGAGUGAAAACCCAGGGCUUAACCCUGGGCUGGCUUCCGAUACGGGCAGACUAGAGGUAUGCAGGGGAGGACGGAAUUCCUGGUGUAGCGGUGAAAUGCGCAGAUAUCAGGAGGAACACCGGUGGCGAAGGCGGUUCUCUGGGCCGAUACUGACGCUGAGGAGCGAAAGCGUGGGGAGCAAACAGG
This 253-nucleotide ribosomal RNA is filed under the name uncultured bacterium. RNAcentral describes it as "partial 16S ribosomal RNA". It matches the Rfam family "Bacterial small subunit ribosomal RNA", at positions 524 to 776 of the family's 1533-position model. The record is from RNAcentral.